RNAcentral lists this long non-coding RNA (1458 nucleotides) under Macaca mulatta (Rhesus monkey). RNAcentral describes it as "lncRNA (ENSMMUG00000063856.1)". Lineage: Eukaryota; Metazoa; Chordata; Mammalia; Primates; Cercopithecidae. The record is from RNAcentral.
AGUGUCCUUGAGCCUGUGGGCAGUGGAGAUGGGGUUUCACCGUGUUAGACAGGAUGGUCUUGAUCUCCUGACCUCAGGAUCCACCUGCCUCAGCCUCCCAAAGUGCUGGGAUUACAGACGUGAGCCACUGCGCCCGGCCGAGCCAUUCCUAUUUCCUCUUCAGUGAAAUGCUUGUUUACCUGGAAAUCAUGUGGGCAACUGCCAUAGAAGGGAAUCACCUGUAAGUAGGCACUGUAAUCCCACGUCUCAGCGGAGGAUCCCAGGGAGCGGUCCCACUGACAGCAAGUGGUGCUGCCUGAGUGAGCUCCUGGGAGCCUGGUCCAGAGCUUGAAACCCGGCACCAUUCCGUGUCUGUCUGAAUUCCACCAUUCAGAGAAAGAGACUCCGUAUCUCCCAGCCUUCCCAGAAAAAGGGCUGCCGCGCCUACCUGUAUUAGGGCUCUCCAGAGAAGCAGAACCAAUGUACAUACGGGGACAGCAGGGAGAGAUUUUAAGAACUGGCUCAUGCGAAUGUGGAAGCUGGCAAGUCUGCAAUCUCUGGGAACAGGCGCACAGGCUAGAAACUCAGGAUACUCAUGAAGAUAAGAGAAGAAUGUGGAGGCCCCUGGAUACACAGAGGACGCCGUUUCUUAAUGGACUCAGCUUUUCUCCAGGGAGCUCUUCUGUUGAAUUUUCUUUUCAGCACUGGGUCCACCAGGGGGCAGAUGAAGAAAGGGCCUGGAGAUUUGACGAUGUCAUUGGAGCACAGAGCUCCUCACUUUCAGACGUGAACUAACUGGCACUGCUCCUACCCAAGCUGCGAUCACACGGCUAAAUAGGUCUGGCCAGUACAUCAUGACCAUGCAAUGUCUCAUGCUUCAGAUUCCAUUCUCAGCUCCCCAAAGGGCCAGGAGAGUCUGGUGCUGGGACCCUGGCAGGAGCAUGCUAGCAAAAUUCAGGAUUUCUUUAGCCAAGGAAUGGCAGACUUCCAACCUGCAUAAGCAAUAACUUUACAACGGAAACGGAUGUAAAAAACCUGAGAAAGAGAAAAUGGAAGGACAUCCCAGAGAAAAAGUGUUUUUGUUUUUAAGGACAUAAGGACAGAAAAAUAAGAAAGAAAACGUCUACAGUAUAGUCUAAUGUCUAUAACUCUCCCUGAAGCUGUGGUUGGAAAAGAACUUUCUGAAAAAGGUUUUCACCUCUGUAAUGAACAUGCUCACUCUGACAGCACUUUUGGUUGACCUGAGAGUACACACAGCUGUGAGGCUGAUCUUGUUCGGCCAGUGUCCUGACCUCAGCCGCCCUUACUGCUCAGGCAGGAAUGGACUCAGCAGAUGGUACCUGGCAGACAUGCCUCCCAGGCGAUGCAGGAACCUUCUUCAUAGAACCUGCUCUAGAACGAAACCUCUGGCUGCUCCCCUGCACCUCACAGGCCAGCUGUCUCACCCCUUGUCAUUGAGCAUAAAGAUCAUUAUCACCC